GACGAACGCUGGCGGCGUGCUUAACACAUGCAAGUCGAACGGAAAGGCCCUGCUUUUGUGGGGUGCUCGAGUGGCGAACGGGUGAGUAACACGUGAGUAACCUGCCCUUGACUUUGGGAUAACUUCAGGAAACUGGGGCUAAUACCGGAUAGGAGCUCCUGCUGCAUGGUGGGGGUUGGAAAGUUUCGGCGGUUGGGGAUGGACUCGCGGCUUAUCAGCUUGUUGGUGGGGUAGUGGCUUACCAAGGCUUUGACGGGUAGCCGGCCUGAGAGGGUGACCGGCAACAUUGGGACUGAGAUACGGCCCAGACUCCUAGGGGAGGCAGCAGUGGGGAAUAUUGCACAAGGGGCGGAAGCCGGAUGCAGAAACGCCGCGUGCGGGAUGACGGCCUUCGGGUUGUAAACCGCUUUCGCCUGUGACGAAGCGUGAGUGACGGUAAUGGGAAAAGAAGCACCGGCUAACUACGU
This 467-nucleotide ribosomal RNA is filed under the name uncultured bacterium. RNAcentral's name for it is "partial 16S ribosomal RNA". It matches the Rfam family "Bacterial small subunit ribosomal RNA", at positions 28 to 506 of the family's 1533-position model. The record is from RNAcentral.